RNAcentral lists this transfer RNA (69 nucleotides) under Karsenia koreana (Korean crevice salamander). RNAcentral describes it as "tRNA-Phe". It matches the Rfam family "tRNA". Rfam says of the family: Transfer RNA (tRNA) molecules are approximately 80 nucleotides in length. The record is from RNAcentral. Lineage: Eukaryota; Metazoa; Chordata; Amphibia; Caudata; Plethodontidae.
GCUUAUGUGGUUCAAUUUAAGAAUAUGGCACUGAAAAUGCUAAGAUAAAUAAUAAUAAUUUCAUAAACA